This 253-nucleotide ribosomal RNA is filed under the name uncultured bacterium. Its description in RNAcentral is "partial 16S ribosomal RNA". It matches the Rfam family "Bacterial small subunit ribosomal RNA", at positions 524 to 776 of the family's 1533-position model. The record is from RNAcentral.
UACGAAGGGGGCUAGCGUUGUUCGGAAUCACUGGGCGUAAAGCGCGCGUAGGCUGAUAUGUAAGUCAGGGGUGAAAUCCCGGGGCCCAACCUCGGAAUUGCCUUUGAAACUACAUAUCUAGAGACUCGGAGGGGAUAGCGGAAUUCCUAAUGUAGGGGUGAAAUCCGUAGAGAUUAGGAGGAACACCGGUGGCGAAGGCGGCUAUCUGGACGAGUACUGACGCUGAGGUGCGAAAGCGUGGGGAGCAAACAGG